RNAcentral lists this long non-coding RNA (1443 nucleotides) under Chrysolophus pictus (golden pheasant). Its description in RNAcentral is "lncRNA (ENSCPIG00010010258.1)". Lineage: Eukaryota; Metazoa; Chordata; Aves; Galliformes; Phasianidae. The record is from RNAcentral.
CCACCUUUUUCAAAGUCUUAUACAAAAGGAAUUUGCCUCCUUUUCCAGUGCUAAGUAUCAGUAGUCCUAUGAUGAUGGAAAAUGACUUCCUGAAAGGGUGAUAGACUUUGAAUGCAGAAUUGUGAUGUUUAGGCUUCUGCUCUUCUGCCUACAAAACUAAAUCAAUGUUUAUUAUAAACUAGUUCCUUUCCUUUGUCCCCAGUUAUCUUCUGUUAUUUUUUUUCCUGAGAUCUGGUAGUUUUCUGCCUGUGAAUUUCUCCCCUUCAAAUCUAUCAGCAAUAAAGACACCACAAUCUAUUCUGUGGAUGCUUCUGCUCAGCACUGAGGAACUUCUUACUGACAUACUGAUGUUUAUACACAUUAUACUGACAGGAACCCUGUCUCCAAACAGGUGGCUCUGCCAUCUCUACUUCUGAGGAUACCCAGAAUGUGAAGUUAAAGUCUGUCCCUAAUGUAAUACAAGAAACAUACACACGCUCCAUUAAGAACACACAUGGAUUUUCUCUAUUUCUCUCCUUGAGAAAAAACAAUCCGCACUUCUGUUUUUUUCACAGCCUGAGUCAUUUGUGUCAACACUCCAACUGGAAACAACACUGACCUUUCACAAUCAGGCAACAUUCAGUAGCUGAGCUCCGGGAGGUCCAACUAGCAGUGGUGACCCAGGUGGCCCAGGAAGCCCAACAUCACCCUGCGGAAACCAGAGGAACAACAGAAAGAUGUUCUGUUCCAUGCAGCAUUUCAGUGAGAUAUGGAAUGUUUUUCUGUUGCACUACAGCAGACUGAACUCUGGAUCAAAAUCUGCCUGUUUCACAAAGGAGCCUCAGGGAAGGGGAAUAAGGAGAAAGUACUAGCAGUGUUCCCUUGUGACCGUGGACUGCCAGGAUGACAUGUUUUCACAGGUAUGGGAAAAAGCAACAUAUGCUAUAUGGUCUAAUUCUAACUAAGGCAAAAAUCUCUAUUUACUGUAUGCCUCAAAAAUUACAUGUAGGUUUUGAUUCACAUUAAGGCAAUUUCUAAAAUUGGCGUGCAUAUCCUGAAAAUGAAAGACUGAGAAACUUUGGUAAUCUUACAGGCAUGCCUGGUUGGCCUGGGUAUCCAGGUGGGCCUGUUGUACCUGUCGAUCCUCUAGGUCCCUGAAAAAAGACAACAAAUGGCCUGUUUCUGAAGAUAUCAAGAGAUUACAAUUUUUCUUUUUUCACACAAAACUAGUUUAUCUGAAUGCCUGCACUACUUGAACUCAAUUUACUGGUAUUUCACUUAUAUAUGCCUCUCUUAUAGCUUAUUACGAUACCAGAAAACUCACAGUCAUUACAGCAGCUCGGUUUCUGGAUAACUGUGUACUGAUAUUGUGUUUUAUGAAUGAAUUGAAAGAAUACUUUGUUAGUAACUGUACUACAGUAUGGGGACUUUAAGAAUUUCAUCAGCUAGUAUUUUUUUGACCAG